This 391-nucleotide ribosomal RNA is filed under the name uncultured bacterium. Its description in RNAcentral is "bacterial SSU rRNA". It matches the Rfam family "Bacterial small subunit ribosomal RNA", at positions 28 to 416 of the family's 1533-position model. The record is from RNAcentral.
GACGAACGCUGGCGGCGUGCUUAACACAUGCAAGUCGAACGGUGACCCAGGGCUUGCCCUGGUGAUCAGUGGCGAACGGGUGAGUAACACGUGGGCAACCUGCCCCUGACUUCGGGAUAACUCCUCGAAAGAGGAGCUAAUACCGGAUACGACCACUUCGGACAUCCGAUGGUGGUGGAAAGUUUUUCGGUCAGGGAUGGGCCCGCGGCCUAUCAGCUAGUUGGUGGGGUAAUGGCCUACCAAGGCGACGACGGGUAGCCGGCCUGGAGAGGGCGACCGGGCCACACUGGGACUGAGACACGGCCCAGACUCCUACGGGAGGCAGCAGUGGGGAAUAUUGCGCAAUGGGCGAAAGCCUGACGCAGCGACGCCGCGUUGAGGGAUGAAGGCC